Molecule: ribosomal RNA, 700 nt
Filed under: Psychrobacter sp. IF65TCBS
Lineage: Bacteria; Pseudomonadati; Pseudomonadota; Gammaproteobacteria; Moraxellales; Moraxellaceae
Description: bacterial SSU rRNA
Rfam family: Bacterial small subunit ribosomal RNA
Source: RNAcentral
UUCUCGCUGACGAGCGGCGGACGGGUGAGUAAUACUUAGGAAUCUGCCUAGUAGUGGGGGAUAGCUCGGGGAAACUCGAAUUAAUACCGCAUACGACCUACGGGAGAGAGGGGGCAACUUGUUGCUCUCGCUAUUAGAUGAGCCUAAGUCGGAUUAGCUAGAUGGUGGGGUAAAGGCCUACCAUGGCGACGAUCUGUAGCUGGUCUGAGAGGAUGAUCAGCCACACCGGGACUGACACACGGCCCGGACUCCUACGGGAGGCAGCAGUGGGGAAUAUUGGACAAUGGGGGCAACCCUGAUCCAGCCAUGCCGCGUGUGUGAAGAAGGCCUUUUGGUUGUAAAGCACUUUAAGCAGUGAAGAAGACUCCAUGGUUAAUACCCAUGGACGAUGACAUUAGCUGCAGAAUAAGCACCGGCUAACUCUGUGCCAGCAGCCGCGGUAAUACAGAGGGUGCAAGCGUUAAUCGGAAUUACUGGGCGUAAAGCGAGCGUAGGUGGCUUGAUAAGUCAGAUGUGAAAGCCCCGGGCUUAACCUGGGAACGGCAUCUGAUACUGUUAGGCUAGAGUAGGUGAGAGGAAGGUAGAAUUCCAGGUGUAGCGGUGAAAUGCGUAGAGAUCUGGAGGAAUACCGAUGGCGAAGGCAGCCUUCUGGCAUCAUACUGACACUGAGGUUCGAAAGCGUGGGUAGCAAACAGGAUUA